AUGAUGGCACCACCUACCGAAAGGUGCUCUUUUUCUUCUUUUAAUUCGAUCUAUACUUAUUGCUUUAGAUUUACCUUAUUUUUUCUCUUUUCCGCUAUUUGAUUUGGGAAGGAAACGGAUUUAUUUAGUUGGACCGAGCUUUUAUCUUUGCUUCACAUGCUUUUAGAUUGGCCAUUUCCCCUGGAUUUUUAGUUUUUUUCUGAAUUUUUUUCUGGGUAUUUCUUUUUAGUUGUGUCAUAUUAUCUCUCUAUUUCUUGUCUGGUUUCCAGUUUCCAUUUUUAUGGUUGGGUUGAACCGGAUCACCUUGUAGUAUAGUUGUCUUAUAACUGCUGUUUUAUUAACAUCCUCCAUACUUAUUCCUCUCUCUUGAAGAGAGAGCAUUGGAACUUUAUGCUAUUGAAGAAGGUCUAUUCGCGGGCUUUCUAAUUUUAGAACUUGAAAAUUUCAAUGAAUAAUUGAUUAGCUUUUGAUCGAUUAAUGAAAUCUCUAAUUAGUGGAAAAUCUUUCUCUUUUCUAAGAAUUUAAAACCCAGGGUAUUAAUGGAGACUUUAAUUGCUCUUAGGCGUUUUUAUCUCUUGUGCUGUGCAAUCUGUAACUUCUUUCACCACUUUUUUUUUAUAUUCCUUUCAUGUUAAUGAUAUAAUACCACCAUGUUUGGUUUGUUGAUCCAGGGAUGCAAGCCACCCCCAAUUG
RNAcentral lists this unclassified non-coding RNA (693 nucleotides) under Hevea brasiliensis (rubber tree). The record is from RNAcentral. Lineage: Eukaryota; Viridiplantae; Streptophyta; Magnoliopsida; Malpighiales; Euphorbiaceae.